Molecule: non-coding RNA, 26 nt
Filed under: Mus musculus (house mouse)
Lineage: Eukaryota; Metazoa; Chordata; Mammalia; Rodentia; Muridae
Source: RNAcentral
UGGCAAAGCGGGCAGAAGGGCAGAGA